GGUUGAGUAACUUGCCCAAGGUUUCACAGCUAGGAAGUAAUGGAGCCCAAAUCUGAACUCAUGGGUGACUGCCUCCAGUGCAGAGACAGGGCCUGAAUUGAGUAGGACCUUGAAGGACAUACAGGUGUAGACAGAGGAAGGAAAGCCUGGAGGCUUCAUACAGAUAAAGAUGUCUACAUUGGGAACGAUGAGGAGGUGCAACACAGAUGCCUUAUUCUGUUGGAUUCCUGCAUAUGGGUCAGGAAUGAGUUAUUCUUUGGAAUACCUCUCCUGCCAAGAAAACGUGAAGAGGGGUUUAUGUGUGGUGUUAUUCAGGC
RNAcentral lists this long non-coding RNA (317 nucleotides) under Capra hircus (goat). RNAcentral's name for it is "lncRNA (ENSCHIG00000007940.1)". Lineage: Eukaryota; Metazoa; Chordata; Mammalia; Artiodactyla; Bovidae. The record is from RNAcentral.